UCUGGUUGAUCCUGCCAGUAGUUAUAUGCUUGUCUCAAAGAUUAAGCCAUGCAUGUCUAAGUACACACGAAUUAAAAGUGAAACCGCAAAAGGCUCAUUAUAUCAGUUAUGGUUCCUUAGAUCGUUAACAGUUACUUGGAUAACUGUGGUAAUUCUAGAGCUAAUACAUGCAAUUAAAACAUGAACCUUAUGGGACAUGUGCUUUUAUUAGGCUAAAACCAAGCGAUCGCAAGAUCGUUAUAUUGGUUGAACUCUAGAUAACAUGCAGAUCGUAUGGUCUUGUACCGACGACAGAUCUUUCAAAUGUCUGCCCUAUCAACUUUUGAUGGUAGUAUCUAGGACUACCAUGGUUGCAACGGGUAACGGGGAAUCAGGGUUCGAUUCCGGAGAGGGAGCCUGAGAAACGGCUACCACAUCUAAGGAAGGCAGCAGGCGCGUAAAUUACCCACUCCCAGCUCGGGGAGGUAGUGACGAAAAAUAACAAUACAGGACUCAUAUCCGAGGCCCUGUAAUUGGAAUGAGUACACUUUAAAUCCUUUAACAAGGACCAAUUGGAGGGCAAGUCUGGUGCCAGCAGCCGCGGUAAUUCCAGCUCCAAUAGCGUAUAUUAAAGUUGUUGCGGUUAAAACGUUCGUAGUUGAACUUGUGCUUCAUACGGGUAGUACAACUUACAAUUGUGGUUAGUACUAUACCUUUAUGUAUGUAAGCGUAUUACCGGUGGAGUUCUUAUAUGUGAUUAAAUACUUGUAUUUUUUCAUAUGUUCCUCCUAUUUAAAAACCUGCAUUAGUGCUCUUAAACGAGUGUUAUUGUGGGCCGGUACUAUUACUUUGAACAAAUUAGAGUGCUUAAAGCAGGCUUCAAAUGCCUGAAUAUUCUGUGGCAUGGGAUAAUGAAAUAGACCUCUGUUCUGCUUUCAUUGGUUUUCAGAUCAAGAGGUAAUGAUUAUAGAAGCAGUUUGGGGGCAUUAGUAUUACGACGCGAGAGGUG
This 988-nucleotide ribosomal RNA is filed under the name Drosophila erecta. RNAcentral's name for it is "SSU rRNA". It matches the Rfam family "Eukaryotic small subunit ribosomal RNA", at positions 1 to 913 of the family's 1831-position model. Lineage: Eukaryota; Metazoa; Arthropoda; Insecta; Diptera; Drosophilidae. The record is from RNAcentral.